This 1230-nucleotide ribosomal RNA is filed under the name Staphylococcus aureus. RNAcentral's name for it is "partial 23S ribosomal RNA". It matches the Rfam family "Bacterial large subunit ribosomal RNA", at positions 1 to 1232 of the family's 2925-position model. Lineage: Bacteria; Bacillati; Bacillota; Bacilli; Caryophanales; Staphylococcaceae. The record is from RNAcentral.
GAUUAAGUUAUUAAGGGCGCACGGUGGAUGCCUUGGCACUAGAAGCCGAUGAAGGACGUUACUAACGACGAUAUGCUUUGGGGAGCUGUAAGUAAGCUUUGAUCCAGAGAUUUCCGAAUGGGGAAACCCAGCAUGAGUUAUGUCAUGUUAUCGAUAUGUGAAUACAUAGCAUAUCAGAAGGCACACCCGGAGAACUGAAACAUCUUAGUACCCGGAGGAAGAGAAAGAAAAUUCGAUUCCCUUAGUAGCGGCGAGCGAAACGGGAAGAGCCCAAACCAACAAGCUUGCUUGUUGGGGUUGUAGGACACUCUAUACGGAGUUACAAAGGACGACAUUAGACGAAUCAUCUGGAAAGAUGAAUCAAAGAAGGUAAUAAUCCUGUAGUCGAAAAUGUUGUCUCUCUUGAGUGGAUCCUGAGUACGACGGAGCACGUGAAAUUCCGUCGGAAUCUGGGAGGACCAUCUCCUAAGGCUAAAUACUCUCUAGUGACCGAUAGUGAACCAGUACCGUGAGGGAAAGGUGAAAAGCACCCCGGAAGGGGAGUGAAAUAGAACCUGAAACCGUGUGCUUACAAGUAGUCAGAGCCCGUUAAUGGGUGAUGGCGUGCCUUUUGUAGAAUGAACCGGCGAGUUACGAUUUGAUGCAAGGUUAAGCAGUAAAUGUGGAGCCGUAGCGAAAGCGAGUCUGAAUAGGGCGUUUAGUAUUUGGUCGUAGACCCGAAACCAGGUGAUCUACCCUUGGUCAGGUUGAAGUUCAGGUAACACUGAAUGGAGGACCGAACCGACUUACGUUGAAAAGUGAGCGGAUGAACUGAGGGUAGCGGAGAAAUUCCAAUCGAACCUGGAGAUAGCUGGUUCUCUCCGAAAUAGCUUUAGGGCUAGCCUCAAGUGAUGAUUAUUGGAGGUAGAGCACUGUUUGGACGAGGGGCCCCUCUCGGGUUACCGAAUUCAGACAAACUCCGAAUGCCAAUUAAUUUAACUUGGGAGUCAGAACAUGGGUGAUAAGGUCCGUGUUCGAAAGGGAAACAGCCCAGACCACCAGCUAAGGUCCCAAAAUAUAUGUUAAGUGGAAAAGGAUGUGGCGUUGCCCAGACAACUAGGAUGUUGGCUUAGAAGCAGCCAUCAUUUAAAGAGUGCGUAAUAGCUCACUAGUCGAGUGACACUGCGCCGAAAAUGUACCGGGGCUAAACAUAUUACCGAAGCUGUGGAUUGUCCUUUGGACAAUGGUAGG